AAUCUCCUUUUGUAGUAAGGUAAGCAGUGAUGUUACUGCCCCUCACAAAAACUGCAUGUCGUUACUUAACGCCUCCUCUUCUAAACCAGCCGCUGCCAUCCUCUUCCUUCCUUCACCUCCUUGAAUUGUUGUCACUGCUGUCCGAACCUCCUUCCAUUCUCGAGAUGGAGCUGCGCUCAUCCCUUCACAAUCGAUCGUUUUCUCCAACUCAUCAGCUGCACAAACAAGUGGAUGGCUCCGCUUUCGUCUCUGUGAGAUCUCCAUCAUUCGUAUGGGUUCUUGAGAUCCCAAUAUCAUCAAGUCACUCCCCUGAUAUCUCUCUCUGUUGAUUUGAUCUCGAAAUUAGCUUGUCGGUUCGAUCUUGUCCUGCUUCCUUGACGUGAUUUCUCCAUAACCAGAGAUUUUUCAGACUGAUGGAUGUGAAGCAAUUAGAUGGUUAAAAGGGCUUCUUUUAACUCCUAGAUGAUGUCGAACGACAAAGUUUUGAAGGCUAUUUUCCCUUUACUAGAUGAGUAAGGACCUUGCCUGAUGUAUGGAAGUCUAUAAGUAACGAAGAGAUAUCUCCUUCUUGAAGGAGAACUUGCCCUAGUUUCAAAGCUUCGGAGACAAAGGAUAAGAAUGACCUGAAGAAGAAAAAUUCGAAAAGAACAAGCACGGCUGGAAGAAGCAAUUUGAGUUGAAGUUGCUGCAGAACAAAUGUAAAUUUGUUUAAUAAGUAUUUGGCUUUGUCAGGUCUUGUAACCGUAGAAUUUUUAAAAUAUUAUGUAAUGACUUUGGACAUAAUUAUUCGGGUUAUCAAAUCGAUGUGUAAUUUAUUUGGUCUAUAUUGCAAUUAACAAAUAGCUUGUAAACAA
Molecule: non-coding RNA, 854 nt
Organism: Punica granatum (pomegranate)
Lineage: Eukaryota; Viridiplantae; Streptophyta; Magnoliopsida; Myrtales; Lythraceae
Source: RefSeq, a predicted model, not a curated record